AUUGAAGUGUUCAAGCCAGGCAGAUCCAUUUUCUGCCACCGAAUACAUUAGCAUGGGAUAAUGGAAUAGGACCCUGUCCUCCUAUUUUCAGUUGGUUUUGGCAGCGCGAGGACUAGGGUAAUGAUUAAUAGGGAUAGUUGGGGGCAUUAAUAUUUAAUUGUCAGAGGUGAAAUUCUUGGAUUUAUGAAAGAUUAACUUCUGCGAAAGCAUCUGCCAAGGAUGUUUUCAUUAAUCAAGAACGAAAGUUAGGGGAUCGAAGACGAUCAGAUACCGUCGUAGUCUUAACCAUAAACGAUGCCGACCAGCGAUUAGGAGACGUUGAAUACAAAACACCACCAUCGGCGCGGUCGUCCUUGGCGUCUCGGUCCUUCACGGGGCCGGGGCGCGGGGGCGGCUUAGCCCGGUGGCACCGGUGAAUGACUCCCCUAGCAGCUUGUGAAAA
RNAcentral lists this ribosomal RNA (442 nucleotides) under Acanthamoeba genotype T4. RNAcentral's name for it is "SSU rRNA". It matches the Rfam family "Eukaryotic small subunit ribosomal RNA", at positions 765 to 1096 of the family's 1831-position model. Lineage: Eukaryota; Discosea; Longamoebia; Acanthamoebidae. The record is from RNAcentral.